UCUCUUGAUCCAGCGUACAGCGAAGGGGUUUGGGAUGGACGGGCGACUCGUCCUCAUCUGCGGCUUCCACCUUCCAUCGAUUAAUAGCACGCCUGUGUCCGAACCACGAAGCAACCUCCUCCUCGACCUCUGAUUUCUCCCUCCCCCCUCUCUCUCUCCUGUCUCGAUCGAUCGAUCGAUCGAUCUCGGGCGAGGAGGCAUGGAGGCGUCGUCAUGGGACGCCCUCCGGAAACAGGCAAGGAAACUUGAAGCUCAGCUGGAUGAGCUGAUGAAUUCAUAUCGUAGAUUGGUUUCCACAAAACCUGAUGGUUCAGAGAGUGAUCUUGAAUCUGGAAUAGAGCGAUUUCUGAAACAACUUCAGCAAGUUAAUUCACAGAUGCAAACUUGGGUAUCUUCAGGAGGCUCAGAAAUCCUUUCACAUACAUUAACUCGGCAUAGAGAAAUUCUUCAAGAUCUUACUCAGGAGUUUUAUCGGCUCCGCUCUAGCCUUAGAGCUAAGCAGGAACAUGCAUCACUCCUUCUGGACUUCAGGGAUUUCGAGAGGGCAAGAUUGGACAUGGAAGAUGGUGCUGGUUCUGUUGAUCAGGCUCUUCUUAAAGAACAAGCAGCUCUAAGUAGAAGUUCAGGACAGGUUCUUUUUGCCAGGGUGGACAGCGAUGGAUGGUGUAAUAUCCCAAGCCCAAGCUACUUUGGGAGCACUUGUUCUUCAACGCUCAACAUUUGGUGGCAUCAGCAGCAAGAUAAGCAAUGUCGGCAGCCGACUUCCCACGGUAAAUCAUAUCCUUUCAGCAAUUAGAAGGAAAAAAUCAAUGGAUACCAUCAUUCUUUCGCUUGUUGCUUCCGUCUGGAUCAAGAGUGAUCAACCUGUUGCCUGCUUGGCACCCUGCACCUCCCACUCUGUCAAGAGCAACAAGGUUACUCGGAGGAAAUGGCGUCAGAUCAGAUGGUUUGUCUUCUCUUGCUGAAAGAAAAAAUUGUUUCCACCCAUUAAGAAUAGUAGCAAGUCAAUGGGAAAUGAGUGGUGCCUCAGGUUAUGAAACUACGGAGCUAUGAGAGCUGAGAAGUCGUCCAAUCUCUGUCCAAAUGAGACAUGACUGAAGUAGCUCUGCAUAAUGAUGAGUUUAUGAUCUGUUGAAUUUAAUAACUUGAUA
This is an RNA transcript of Phoenix dactylifera (date palm), 1151 nucleotides long. It is a transcript of the gene named Golgi SNAP receptor complex member 1-1-like, with no coding region annotated. Lineage: Eukaryota; Viridiplantae; Streptophyta; Magnoliopsida; Arecales; Arecaceae. The record is from RefSeq and is a predicted model, not a curated record.